GAUGAACGCUGGCGGCGUGCCUAAUACAUGCAAGUCGAGCGAACAGAUAAGGAGCUUGCCCCUUUGACGUUAGCGGCGGACGGGUGAGUAACACGUGGGUACCUACCUAUAGGACUGGAAUAACUCCGGGAAACCGGGGCUAAUGCCGGAUAACAUGUUGAACCGCAUGGUUCUACAGUGAAAGGCGGCCUUGCUGUCACUUAUAGAUGGACCCGCGCCGUAUUAGCUAGUUGGUGAGGUAACGGCUCACCAAGGCAACGAUACGUAGCCGACCUGAGAGGGUGAUCGGCCACACUGGAACUGAGACACGGUCCAGACUCCUACGGGAGGCAGCAGUAGGGAAUCUUCCGCAAUGGGCGAAAGCCUGACGGAGCAACGCCGCGUGAGUGAUGAAGGUCUUCGGAUCGUAAAACUCUGUUAUUAGGGAAGAACAAAUGCGUAAGUAACUGUGCGCGUCUUGACGGUACCUAAUCAGAAAGCCACGGCUAACUACGU
Molecule: ribosomal RNA, 495 nt
Filed under: uncultured bacterium
Lineage: Bacteria
Description: partial 16S ribosomal RNA
Rfam family: Bacterial small subunit ribosomal RNA
Source: RNAcentral